CCUACGGGAGGCAGCAGUGAGGGAUAUUGGUCAAUGGGGGAAACCCUGAACCAGCAACGCCGCGUGAGGGAAGACGGUUUUCGGAUUGUAAACCUCUGUUCUCCGUGAAGAUAAUGACGGUAGCAGAGGAGGAAGCUCCGGCUAACUACGUGCCAGCAGCCGCGGUAAUACGUAGGGAGCAAGCGUUGUCCGGAUUUACUGGGCGUAAAGGGUGCGUAGGCGGGCCUGCAAGUCAGAAGUGAAAUCCAUGGGCUUAACCCGUGAACUGCUUUUGAAACUGUAGGGCUUGAGUGCAGUAGAGGCAGGCGGAAUGCCCGGUGUAGCGGUGAAAUGCGUAGAGAUCGGGAGGAACACCAGUGGCGAAGGCAGCCUACUGGGCUUUAACUGACGCUGAAGCACGAAAGCGUGGGUAGCAAACAGGAUUAGAUACCCCAGUAGUC
Molecule: ribosomal RNA, 440 nt
Filed under: uncultured bacterium
Lineage: Bacteria
Description: partial 16S ribosomal RNA
Rfam family: Bacterial small subunit ribosomal RNA
Source: RNAcentral